ACAGCCAUAAUAUGUUGAAACACCAGUUCUCAUACAAUCACUGAAGUUAAGCAACAUCGAGGAGCCUGGUUAGUACCAAGAUGGGUGACAGUUUGGGAAUACCAAGUGUUGUAA
This is a non-coding RNA of Acanthosepion pharaonis, 114 nucleotides long. NCBI's taxonomy places the organism in Eukaryota, Metazoa, Mollusca, Cephalopoda, Sepiida, Sepiidae. The record is from the annotation of a GenBank genome assembly.